This 254-nucleotide ribosomal RNA is filed under the name uncultured bacterium. RNAcentral's name for it is "partial 16S ribosomal RNA". It matches the Rfam family "Bacterial small subunit ribosomal RNA", at positions 524 to 776 of the family's 1533-position model. The record is from RNAcentral.
GACAGAGGGGGCAAGCGUUGCUCGGAAUUACUGGGCGUAAAGGGCGCGUAGGCGGUCAGCACAAGUCAGUUGUGAAAUCUCCGGGCUUAACUCGGAAAGGUCAACUGAUACUGUGCGACUAGAGUGCAGAAGGGGCAACUGGAAUUCUCGGUGUAGCGGUGAAAUGCGUAGAUAUCGAGAGGAACACCUGCGGCGAAGGCGGGUUGCUGGGCUGACACUGACGCUGAGGCGCGAAAGCCAGGGGAGCGAACGGG